GGGCCCGCACAAGCGGUGGAGUAUGUGGUUUAAUUCGAUGCAACGCGAAGAACCUUACCAGGGCUUGACAUCCUGCGAAUCUCUGGGAAACCGGAGAGUGCCUUCGGGAACGCAGUGACAGGUGGUGCAUGGCUGUCGUCAGCUCGUGUCGUGAGAUGUUGGGUUAAGUCCCGCAACGAGCGCAACCCUUGUCCUUAGUUACCAGCGGGUUAAGCCGGGAACUCUAAGGAUACUGCCAGUGACAAACUGGAGGAAGGCGGGGACGACGUCAAGUCAUCAUGGCCCUUACGACCAGGGCUACACACGUGCUACAAUGGUAGGUACAGAGGGCAGCUACACAGCGAUGUGAUGCGAAUCUCAAAAAGCCUAUCGUAGUCCAGAUUGGAGUCUGCAACUCGACCCCGUGAAGCUGGAAUCGCUAGUAAUCG
RNAcentral lists this ribosomal RNA (428 nucleotides) under uncultured bacterium. RNAcentral describes it as "bacterial SSU rRNA". It matches the Rfam family "Bacterial small subunit ribosomal RNA", at positions 917 to 1344 of the family's 1533-position model. The record is from RNAcentral.